UGAUCCUGGCUCAGGAUGAACGCUAGCUACAGGCUUAACACAUGCAAGUCGAGGGGCAGCAUGGCGAUUGCUUGCAAUUGCUGAUGGCGACCGGCGCACGGGUGAGUAACGCGUAUCCAACCUUCCUUAACCCUGGAAUAGCCCGGUGAAAACCGGAUUAAUGCCGGAUGUGGUCCGAAGAGGACAUCUGAUUUGGACUAAAGGUUUUACGGUUAAGGAUGGGGAUGCGUCUGAUUAGCUGUUGCGGGGUAACGGCCCACCAAGGCUACGAUCAGUAGGGGUUCUGAGAGAAGGUCCCCACACUGGUACUGAGACACGGACCAGACUCCUACGGGAGGCAGCAGUGAGGAAUAUUGGUCAAUGGGCGGGAGCCUGAACCAGCCAAGUAGCGUGCAGGAUGACGGCCCUACGGGUUGUAAACUGCUUUUAUGCGGGGAUAAAGUGCCCUACGUGUAGGGUUUUGCAGGUACCGCAUGAAUAAGGACCGGCUAAUUCCGUGCC
Molecule: ribosomal RNA, 501 nt
Filed under: uncultured bacterium
Lineage: Bacteria
Description: bacterial SSU rRNA
Rfam family: Bacterial small subunit ribosomal RNA
Source: RNAcentral